Molecule: ribosomal RNA, 2184 nt
Filed under: Triticum aestivum (bread wheat)
Lineage: Eukaryota; Viridiplantae; Streptophyta; Magnoliopsida; Poales; Poaceae
Description: partial small subunit ribosomal RNA
Source: RNAcentral
AUGGAGAUCGAACGCGCCGGCGACGAGGACGACGCGUCUCCGGUGGAGCAGGUCCGGCUGACGGUGCCGGUGACUGACGACCACUCGCUGCCGGUAUGGACGUUCCGGAUGUGGACGAUGGGCUUCCUCUCCUGCGCCCUCCUCUCCUUCCUCAACCAGUUCUUCGCCUACCGCGCCGAGCCCAUCAUCAUAAGCCAGAUCACCAUCCAGGUGGCGGCGCUGCCGAUCGGGCACUUCUUGUCGCGGGUGCUGCCGGAGAAGAAGUUCAGGGUGUUCGGGCGGGAGUGCUCGGUGAACCCGGGGCCCUUCAACGUGAAGGAGCACGUGCUGAUCUCCAUCUUCGCCAACGCCGGAGCCUCCUUCGGCGGCGGCAACGCCUACGCCAUCGGCAUCGUCACCAUCAUCAAGGCCUUCUACAAGCGCAACAUCUCCUUCGUCACCAGCCUGCUCCUCGUCAUCACGACCCAGGUGCUGGGGUACGGCUGGGCAGGGCUGAUGAGGAAGUACGUGGUGGAGCCGGCGCACAUGUGGUGGCCGACGAGCCUGGUGCAGGUUUCUCUCAUGAGGGCGAUGCACGAGAAGGAGAAGCGGCGGAUGACGCGGGGCAAGUUCUUCCUGAUCGCGCUCAUCUGCAGCUUCGCGUGGUACACGGUGCCGGGGUACCUGUUCCCGACGCUGACGGCCGUGUCGUGGGUGUGCUGGGUGUUCCCCAAGUCCAUCACCAUGCAGCAGAUCGGGUCCGGCCUCAACGGGCUCGGCAUCGGCGCCUUCACCCUCGACUGGGCCACGGUGGUCUCCUGGCUGGGGAGCCCGCUGGUGACGCCCUUCUUCGCCACCGCCAACGUCCUCGUCGGCUACGUCCUGCUCAUCUACCUCAUGCUGCCCAUCGCCUACUGGGUGAUCAACCUCUACAGCGCCAGCAGCUACCCGCUCUUCUCCAACGAGCUCUUCGACGCCCACGGCCAGCUCUACGACAUCCACUCCAUCGUCAACGACAAGUUCGAGAUCGACAUGGACGCCUACGCGCGGCAGGGCAGGAUCCACCUCAGCCUCUUCUUCGCCGUCAGCUACGGCCUCGGCUUCGCCACCAUCGCCGCCACCUUCACCCACGUCGCAUGCUUCUACGGCAAGGAGAUGUACCAGAGGUUCCGGGAGUCGUACAAGGGCAAGAUGGACGUGCACGCGAGGCUCAUGAAGAGGUACGACGACAUACCGAACUGGUGGUUCUACAUCCUGCUCGCGGUGUCCAUGGCGGUAUCCUUGGUCCUCUGCACCGUGUUCAAGGAGGAGGUGCAGCUGCCGUGGUGGGGCCUCCUCAUUGCCUGCGCCAUAGCCUUCGUCUUCACGCUCCCCAUUAGCGUCAUCACCGCGACCACAAACACGACGCCGGGGUUGAAUAUCAUCACGGAGUAUUGCUGGGGUCUGAUCAUGCCGGGGAAGCCCAUCGCCAACGUGUGCUUCAAGGUGUACGGCUACAUGAGCAUGAACCAGGCCGUCUCCUUCCUCACCGACUUCAAGCUCGGCCACUACAUGAAGAUCCCCCCAAGAUCCAUGUUCCUGGUGCAGUUCGUGGGGACGGUGGUGGCGUCGACGGUGAACACGGUGGUGGCGUGGUGGCUGCUGACCACCGUGCCGCACAUCUGCGAGAAGGGCCAGCUCCCGGAGGGCAGCCCGUGGACGUGCCCGGGCGACCACGUCUUCUUCGACGCGUCCGUGAUCUGGGGCCUCGUCGGCCCGCGCCGCAUCUUCGGGCCGCUCGGCUACUACUCGGCGCUCAACUGGUUCUUCCUCAUCGGGCUAGCCGGGCCGGUGGUGGUGUGGCUCUUCGCCAAGGCGCUGCCGCGGCACGCCGGCUGGAUCAGCCUCAUCAACCUGCCCGUCAUCCUGGGGGGCACGGCCAUGAUGCCGCCGGCGUCGGCGCUCAACUACACGGCGUGGGGCUUCGUCGGCUUUGUGUUCAACUUUUUCGUGUUCCGGUACCGCAAGGGGUGGUGGAAGCGGUACAACUACGUGCUGUCGGCGGCCAUGGACGGCGGCGUGGCCAUCAUGGGGGUGCUCCUCUACUUCGCGCUCACCAGCUGGGGCCACCAGCUCGACUGGUGGGGCUCCAGGGGCGAGUACUGCGACCUCGCCGCCUGCCCCACCGCCAAGGGCGUGCUGGUGGACGGAUGCCCCGUCCUCUGA